AUCUUAUUUUUAGGUAAACUCUACACCCAAGGUGGAGCUUGAACACACAACCUUGAGAUCAAGAGUUGCAUGCUCCACCAAAUGAAUCAGCCAGAUGCUCCUGAAUCUCUGCUCUCAAU
This is a long non-coding RNA of Lynx canadensis (Canada lynx), 119 nucleotides long. RefSeq lists it as uncharacterized. NCBI's taxonomy places the organism in Eukaryota, Metazoa, Chordata, Mammalia, Carnivora, Felidae. The record is from RefSeq and is a predicted model, not a curated record. The transcript is spliced from 3 exons.